UGGGGAAUAUUGGGGCAAUGGACGAAAGUCUGACCCAGCGACGCCGCGUGAGGGAAGAAGGUCUUCGGAUUGUAAACCUCUGUUGACAGGGAAGAAGUAAGUGACGGUACCUGUCGAGGAAGCCACGGCUAACUACGUGCCAGCAGCCGCGGUAAUACGUAGGUGGCAAGCGUUAUCCGGAAUUACUGGGUGUAAAGGGUGUGUAGGCGGGACUGCAAGUCAGAUGUGAAAACUAUUGGCUUAACCAAUAGCCUGCAUUUGAAACUGUGGUUCUUGAGUGUCGGAGAGGCAAUCGGAAUUCCUAGUGUAGCGGUGAAAUGCGUAGAUAUUAGGAGGAACACCAGUGGCGAAGGCGGAUUGCUGGACAGCAACUGACGGUGAGGCGCGAAAGUGUGGGGAGCAAACAGGAUUAGAUACCCUGGUAGU
This 426-nucleotide ribosomal RNA is filed under the name uncultured Oscillospiraceae bacterium. Its description in RNAcentral is "bacterial SSU rRNA". It matches the Rfam family "Bacterial small subunit ribosomal RNA", at positions 355 to 794 of the family's 1533-position model. The record is from RNAcentral. Lineage: Bacteria; Bacillati; Bacillota; Clostridia; Eubacteriales; Oscillospiraceae.